AUGCCGUGGACGCCGCCGGCAAGCCGGAUGGCGGCGUGCCCCGGCCGUCUCGGGUCCGCCAUCUUGCUCUUCUCACCGCCACCUUAUGCGCACCGAUCUUCUACACGCACUACGGCGUACCAGGCAGCAUGGGUGGAGUUGGCCAAGCACCUACUCCGCCAUGGCCACAACACCGUCCUCGCCGUCGUCGACCCACCGGACGGCGACGCCGCCUCGGCCGCCGCCGUGGCCCGACUCGCCGCGGCUAACCCUUCCAUCGCCUUCCGCCUCCUCCCGGUCCCUCCCAGCUCGGACCCCGCCGCGCACCCGGUCAGGCGCGCCCAUGACACGCUCCGCCUCGCCAACCCCGCGCUUCGGGCCUUCCUGCGCAAGCUGCCGGCCCCCGCCGACGCGCUCCUGCUCGACAUGUUCUGCGUCGACGCGCUCGACGUCGCCACCGAGCUCGCCCUCCCCGCCUACUUCUUCUUUGCCUCCGCCGCCAGCGACCUCGCCGUCUUCCUCAACUUGCCGUACCUCUACCCCCGGCCUGCCGUCCUUCAGGGACAUGCGCGACGCGCUCGUGCGUUGCCCCGGCGUGCCGCCGAUCCGCGCGGUGGACAUGCUGGUCACGGUGCAGGACAAGGAGAGCGACCUCACCAAGGUCUGCCUGCACCAGUUCAAGCGCAUCGCGGAGGGGAGGGGCGUGCUGGUCAACAGCUUCGACUGGCUGGAGCCCACGGCCCUGAAAGCGCUCGCCGACGGCGUCUGCGUGCCCGACCGACCGACGCCGAGGGUCUACUGCAUCGGGCCAUUGGUGAACGGCGGCGACGCGGGCGCAGGCGGCGAGAAGCGGCACGAGUGCCUCGCGUGACUCGACGCGCAGCCGGAGAAGAGCGUUGUGUUCCUCUGUUUCGGCAGCAAGGGCGCCUUCUCGGCGGCGCAGCUGAAGGAGAUCACUCGCGGGCUAGAGAGCUCCGGGCACCGGUUCCUGUGGGCGGUGAGGAGCCCGCCGGAGGAACAGAGGGAGUUCCCCGAGCCGGACCUCGAGCGGCUGCUCCCGGCUGA
RNAcentral lists this ribosomal RNA (1044 nucleotides) under Triticum aestivum (bread wheat). Its description in RNAcentral is "partial small subunit ribosomal RNA". The record is from RNAcentral. Lineage: Eukaryota; Viridiplantae; Streptophyta; Magnoliopsida; Poales; Poaceae.